CCUUUUCUUUUUCUGGCCUCCUCCUACUGAUAGAUCAGGAGAGAGCAACACAGAGAGAGAACGGCGAGCGGCCACCCGGGGAGGCCGCCGCCGCCGCGUGCAUUUCCGGGAUGACGACUCCGGCGUCGUCCAGUAAUCCUCAUGCAGGUGUUCUGUUGACCUUGUUGUGACUGAUGCAAAUUUCAAAUUUACCUCAAUUUCAUACUCUAAAGUUACAACCCUCUGAUUUUUUUUACGAAAUCCAUGUGCAUAGCUCCUUCACUUCCAUCUAUCUAUAUGCAGUUUGAUCUUACUAUACUUACUGCAAGCAAAGCGAGCAAAGUACACAUCCACCACUGACACAAGUUCAUAGAUAAAAGCUAGAGUACCACUUGGCAUGGGUGGUAAGCUAUAUCAGAAACAAUGAACAAUAAAAAAAAAAGCUAGAGUAUCCAGGCAUUCAGAUUGCCUUUAUUUUUUUCACCACCUGGUUGCUGUGUUCUCUUCCAGUUCCAGCCUUCCAGGAGGCUAUAUGUAGCAAGUUCUUGACACAAGUAAACCCUAAGACAGCAGCCGGAUGGCCUUUAUUUAUCAUCACCUGGUGUACUGUCCCAGGUGGAGGAUGUACAUGCACUACUGUUCCAGGUGCAGGUUGUACAUGCGAACUGCUUCAUGCACGAUCCUGGUACACGAUGUAUGCACGACAUGAAAAUCCAGGGGCUGGUGUUCAAUGUAUGCACACAUGUCCGGCUGGAUUUUAACCAUCGUCUAUGGUUCGUCCGAAUCUUGUCGUGUGUAUAGCAUGAUUCUUGUACAUGUACUCUACUACGCAUACACACACAGCAAGCUCACUUGAUCGGCCCGACGGCCGCCACCGCCGCCGCCGCGGGCUUCGCCACCCCCCUGUAC
This 888-nucleotide long non-coding RNA is filed under the name Triticum aestivum (bread wheat). RNAcentral's name for it is "long non-coding RNA (TAES_LNC003909)". Lineage: Eukaryota; Viridiplantae; Streptophyta; Magnoliopsida; Poales; Poaceae. The record is from RNAcentral.